AUGAUAAGCAAUAUAACAGAUUGCUUCAAUAAGGUGCUCAAGGGUGUACAUGCAUCACCCGUGACGGCAAUAGUUCAAUACACAUUUGACAAGAUGAAUGGAUACUUUUUGAAGUAUUCAAUGGAGAAGGAUAAGCAGAUUGCUGGUGAGAACAAGGAUAAGCACAAGUACUAUUUCCCAUCAAAGGUUGAAGAAUGGUUGGACUUUCAAUCACGAAAGGCAGACUCCCAAGAAGCUGUACUAUAUGACGACAACGAGUGGAAGUAUGAGGUGAAAGAGCCUGGAGGAACCACAAACGAUGGUCACCAACACGGAGGCCGCGCUUUCAAGGUCUCCCUAACACGGUGUGAUUGCAACUGCAUGAGGCCAUCGUUGCUUCAUCUCCCAUGCUCGCACUUGUUAAAUGCAGCCCGUGUUAGGAAUGUGAAUGUCAAUUACCCUCUUACCGUGAGGGAGUCCGAGUUCUCAAUCAUGACGGUAAAGAAUACAUGGGCUCCACAGUUUCAGCCCAAGAGCUAG
RNAcentral lists this ribosomal RNA (519 nucleotides) under Triticum aestivum (bread wheat). RNAcentral's name for it is "partial small subunit ribosomal RNA". The record is from RNAcentral. Lineage: Eukaryota; Viridiplantae; Streptophyta; Magnoliopsida; Poales; Poaceae.